This is a non-coding RNA of Pteropus alecto (black flying fox), 103 nucleotides long. NCBI's taxonomy places the organism in Eukaryota, Metazoa, Chordata, Mammalia, Chiroptera, Pteropodidae. The record is from Rfam.
UUGCUUUGGCAGCAAAUACACUAAAAUUGGAACGAUAUAAAGAAGAUUAGCAUGGCCCCUGUGCAAGGAUGACAUGCAAAUUUGUGAAGCAUUCCACAUUUUU